UCAUUUUAAAUAAAAGAAAAUGUACGCCUACCACACUGCACCUUGGUCUCACUCCAACAACGGACGUAACACAGACAGAACACUGAUACAAUACACGCAUUCAGACAGAACACUGAUACAAUACACACAUUCAGAUACAAUACACACAUUGACAGAACACUGAUACAAUACACACACACAUUCAGACAGAACACUGAUACAAUACACACAUUCAGAUACAAUACACACAUUGACAGAACACUGAUACAAUACACACAUUCAGACAGAACAUCCGAACAAUGAAGAAUGUCCUCAUCCGAUUCAUACACUCCUUUCCCUCGACCUCUUCCUUUCUGUUAAGUAUUUUGGUAUUUGUUUCAUUAGUCCAUUGUUGAUGUCAACACAAAAUGUUUUGCAUGUCAGCAAUGAAGUUUUCAAUACAUGUAACUUUCAAUAUACAGAUAUAUAGCCAGUAUGAUAUAUUUUCCCCCGUAUGGCGUCAGUCCUUAGAUACUGAAUGUAUGUAUAUAGGUUAGAGUCUGUAAACCAUGGUCUGUUACCUCCCUCCCUAAAAGAAGUAACCCUUAUUGGAGCGGUGGUUAGCAGUGGGUAGCUACAAUACUGUACUAUGGGUCACGGUUAGAAAUGUGAUUAAUUGGACUAGACUCAGUAUGUCACACAGGAAUGUUCUAAUUCUGUUGUAACUAAUGAACGGGUUGGUGAAAUGACUUCAUUCUGUUGUAACUAAUGAACAGGUUGGUGAAAUGACUUCAUUCUGUUGUAACUAAUGAACAGGUUGGUGAAAUGACUUCAUUCUGUUGUAACUAAUGAACAGGUUGGUGAAAUGACUUCAUUCUGUUGUAACUAAUGAAUGGGUUGGUGAAAUGACUUCAUUCUGUUGUAACUAAUGAACAGGUUGGUGAAAUGACUUCAUUCUGUUGUAACUAAUGAACAGGUUGGUGAAAUGACUUCAUUCUGUUGUAACUAAUGAACAGGUUGGUGAAAUGACUUCAUUCUGUUGUAACUAAUGAAAGUACCUGUUUUUCAGUUCUGAGGGUCAUGUUUGAAAACG
RNAcentral lists this long non-coding RNA (1051 nucleotides) under Salmo salar (Atlantic salmon). Its description in RNAcentral is "lncRNA (ENSSSAG00000094297.1)". Lineage: Eukaryota; Metazoa; Chordata; Actinopteri; Salmoniformes; Salmonidae. The record is from RNAcentral.